UGAGGAAUAUUGGUCAAUGGGGGCAACCCUGAACCAGCCAAGUCGCGUGAAGGAUGAAGGUCUUAUGUAUUGUAAACUUCUUUUAUACAGGAAUAAAUUGGGGGACGUGUCCCCUUUUGCAUGUACUGUAUGAAUAAGGAUCGGCUAACUCCGUGCCAGCAGCCGCGGUAAUACGGAGGAUCCGAGCGUUAUCCGGAUUUAUUGGGUUUAAAGGGUGCGCAGGCGGGAUGUUAAGUCGGCGGUGAAAUUUUGCAGCUCAACUGUAAAAGUGCCUUCGAUACUGGCCUCCUUGAGUGUGGAUGAAGUAGGCGGAAUUUGUGGUGUAGCGGUGAAAUGCUUAGAUAUCACGAGGAACUCCGAUUGCGCAGGCAGCUUACUAAGCCACAACUGACGCUCAUGCACGAAGGCGUGGGGAUCAAACA
This 422-nucleotide ribosomal RNA is filed under the name uncultured bacterium. RNAcentral's name for it is "bacterial SSU rRNA". It matches the Rfam family "Bacterial small subunit ribosomal RNA", at positions 355 to 774 of the family's 1533-position model. The record is from RNAcentral.